GAUGAACGCUGGCGGCGUGCCUAAUACAUGCAAGUCGAGCGAACGGACGAGAAGCUUGCUUCUCUGAUGUUAGCGGCGGACGGGUGAGUAACACGUGGAUAACCUACCUAUAAGACUGGGAUAACUUCGGGAAACCGUAGCUAAUACCGGAUAAUAUUUUGAACCGCAUGGUUCAAAAGUGAAAGACGGUCUUGCUGUCACUUAUAGAUGGUUCCGCGCUGCAUUAGCUAGUUGGUAAGGUAACGGGUUACCAAGGCAACGAUGCAUAGCCGACCUGAGAGGGUGAUCGGCCACACUGGAACUGAGACACGGUCCAGACUACUACGGGAGGCAGCAGUAGGGAAUCUUCCGCAAUGGGCGAAAGCCUGACGGAGCAACGCCGCGUGAGUGAUGAAGGUCUUCGGAUCGUAAAACUCUGUUAUUAGGGAAGAACAUAUGUGUAAGUAACUGUGCACAGCUUGACGGUACCUAAUCAGAAAGCCACGGCUAACUACGUG
RNAcentral lists this ribosomal RNA (497 nucleotides) under uncultured bacterium. RNAcentral's name for it is "partial 16S ribosomal RNA". It matches the Rfam family "Bacterial small subunit ribosomal RNA", at positions 28 to 507 of the family's 1533-position model. The record is from RNAcentral.